GACGAACGCUGGCGGCGUGCUUAACACAUGCAAGUCGAGCGAUGAAGCUUCUUCGGAAGUGGAUUAGCGGCGGACGGGUGAGUAACACGUGGGUAACCUGCCUCAUAGAGGGGAAUAGCCUUCCGAAAGGAAGAUUAAUACCGCAUAAGAUUGUAAUAUCGCAUGACAUAGCAAUUAAAGGAGCAAUCCGCUAUGAGAUGGACCCGCGUCGCAUUAGCUAGUUGGUGAGGUAACGGCUCACCAAGGCGACGAUGCGUAGCCGACCUGAGAGGGUGAUCGGCCACAUUGGGACUGAGACACGGCCCAGACUCCUACGGGAGGCAGCAGUGGGGAAUAUUGCACAAUGGGGGAAACCCUGAUGCAGCAACGCCGCGUGAGUGAUGACGGUCUUCGGAUUGUAAAGCUCUGUCUUUAGGGACGAUAAUGACGGUACCUAAGGAGGAAGCCACGGCUAACUACGUGCCAGCAGCCGCAGUAA
Molecule: ribosomal RNA, 478 nt
Filed under: uncultured bacterium
Lineage: Bacteria
Description: partial 16S ribosomal RNA
Rfam family: Bacterial small subunit ribosomal RNA
Source: RNAcentral